CAUAAUCUGAAGGUCGUGAGUUCG
Molecule: non-coding RNA, 24 nt
Filed under: Gallus gallus (chicken)
Lineage: Eukaryota; Metazoa; Chordata; Aves; Galliformes; Phasianidae
Also listed under: 4 other names
Source: RNAcentral